GCAGCCGCGGUAAUACGGAGGAUCCGAGCGUUAUCCGGAUUUAUUGGGUUUAAAGGGUGCGUAGGCGGCCUAUUAAGUCAGUUCUGAAAUAUUCCGGCUUAACCGGAAGGGUGGGAUUGAUACUGAUGGGCUUGAGUGGACUCGAGGUAGGCGGAAUUGACGGUGUAGCGGUGAAAUGCUUAGAUAUCGUCAAGAACACCGAUAGUGUAGACAGCUUACUAGAUUCUAACUGACGCUGAGGCACGAAAGUGUGGGGAUCAAA
This 262-nucleotide ribosomal RNA is filed under the name uncultured bacterium. Its description in RNAcentral is "partial 16S ribosomal RNA". It matches the Rfam family "Bacterial small subunit ribosomal RNA", at positions 511 to 772 of the family's 1533-position model. The record is from RNAcentral.